RNAcentral lists this ribosomal RNA (564 nucleotides) under uncultured bacterium. Its description in RNAcentral is "partial 16S ribosomal RNA". It matches the Rfam family "Bacterial small subunit ribosomal RNA", at positions 355 to 910 of the family's 1533-position model. The record is from RNAcentral.
UGGGGAAUUUUGGACAAUGGGCGAAAGCCUGAUCCAGCAAUGCCGCGUGUGUGAAGAAGGCCUUCGGGUUGUAAAGCACUUUUGUCCGGAAAGAAAUGGCUCUGGUUAAUACCUGGGGUCGAUGACGGUACCGGAAGAAUAAGGACCGGCUAACUACGUGCCAGCAGCCGCGGUAAUACGUAGGGUCCAAGCGUUAAUCGGAAUUACUGGGCGUAAAGCGUGCGCAGGCGGUUGUGCAAGACCGAUGUGAAAUCCCCGAGCUUAACUUGGGAAUUGCAUUGGUGACUGCACGGCUAGAGUGUGUCAGAGGGGGGUAGAAUUCCACGUGUAGCAGUGAAAUGCGUAGAGAUGUGGAGGAAUACCGAUGGCGAAGGCAGCCCCCUGGGAUAACACUGACGCUCAUGCACGAAAGCGUGGGGAGCAAACAGGAUUAGAUACCCUGGUAGUCCACGCCCUAAACGAUGUCAACUAGUUGUUGGGGAUUCAUUUCCUUAGUAACGUAGCUAACGCGUGAAGUUGACCGCCUGGGGAGUACGGUCGCAAGAUUAAAAAGCUCAAAAUGAA